This 260-nucleotide ribosomal RNA is filed under the name uncultured archaeon. RNAcentral's name for it is "partial 16S ribosomal RNA". It matches the Rfam family "Archaeal small subunit ribosomal RNA", at positions 1 to 267 of the family's 1478-position model. The record is from RNAcentral.
UUCCGGUUGAUCCCGCCAGACCCGACUGCUAUCAGAGUGGGACUAAGCCAUGCGAGUCAACGCAGCAAUGCGUGGCAUACGGCUCAGUAACACGUAGUCAACAUGCCCAAGGGACGUGGAUAACCUCGGGAAACUGAGGAUAAACCGCGAUAGGCCAAGGUUUCUGGAAUGGACAAUGGCUGAAAUCUACAUGGCCCUUGGAUUGGACUGCGGCCGAUCAGGCUGUUGGUGAGGUAAUGGCCCACCAAACCUAUAACCGG